RNAcentral lists this ribosomal RNA (610 nucleotides) under uncultured bacterium. RNAcentral's name for it is "bacterial SSU rRNA". It matches the Rfam family "Bacterial small subunit ribosomal RNA", at positions 198 to 809 of the family's 1533-position model. The record is from RNAcentral.
UUAUUAAAGAAUUUCGGUAACCGAUGGGGAUGCGUUCCAUUAGUUUGUUGGCGGGGUAACGGCCCACCAAGACAUCGAUGGAUAGGGGUUCUGAGAGGAAGGUCCCCCACAUUGGAACUGAGACACGGUCCAAACUCCUACGGGAGGCAGCAGUGAGGAAUAUUGGUCAAUGGACGAGAGUCUGAACCAGCCAAGUAGCGUGAAGGAUGACUGCCCUAUGGGUUGUAAACUUCUUUUAUAUGGGAAUAAAGUGAGCCACGUGUGGCUUUUUGUAUGUACCAUACGAAUAAGGAUCGGCUAACUCCGUGCCAGCAGCCGCGGUAAUACGGAGGAUCCGAGCGUUAUCCGGAUUUAUUGGGUUUAAAGGGAGCGUAGGCGGACUAUUAAGUCAGCUGUGAAAGUUUGCGGCUCAACCGUAAAAUUGCAGUUGAUACUGGUCGUCUUGAGUGCAGUAGAGGUAGGCGGAAUUCGUGGUGUAGCGGUGAAAUGCUUAGAUAUCACGAAGAACUCCGAUUGCGAAGGCAGCUUACUGGACUGUAACUGACGCUGAUGCUCGAAAGUGUGGGUAUCAAACAGGAUUAGAUACCCUGGUAGUCCACACAGUAAACGA